Oryzias latipes (Japanese medaka) is the source of this 1212-nucleotide non-coding RNA. NCBI's taxonomy places the organism in Eukaryota, Metazoa, Chordata, Actinopteri, Beloniformes, Adrianichthyidae. The record is from RefSeq and is a predicted model, not a curated record.
AUAUAUACACAAUCUCAUCCAGCCUUACAUUACUAACAUCAGGCAUCGUGGACGUGCUCUUAUCCGAGCAGAUACUCUGUGCAGCUUUACGUUUCUUUGCCAAUGGAAGCUUUCUGUACAAUAUCGGGGAUGCGGAGCAUAUUAGUAAAGCCACUGUAUGCAGAGCUGUUCGGAAAGUGUGCCUCGCUCUCAAGCACUUUCUGCGCAUUUUUACAGUGUUUCCUGGGCACAAACCCCUGAGAGCCAUCAAAGAGGAGUUUCACAGGAUUGCUGGUUUUCCAAAUGUGGUUGGAUGCAUUGAUGGCACACAUAUACCUGUCAUCGCACCAACUGAAAAUGAGGCAGACUAUGUAAACAAAAAGUCAAUCCACAGUAUUAAUGUGCAGAUUAUAUGUGAUGCUGCACAUGUCAUCACCAAUGUUGAAGCCAAGUGGUCCGGCUCUGUUCAUGACUCACGAAUAUUUCGUGAGUCUACCCUAAGUGAGUCUACCCUAAGCAACAGACUGGACAGAUUGAUGGCUUUCUGUUAGGGGAUAGAGGUUACCCAUGCCAACCUAAACUUCUAACCCCUUGCAUAAAGGCACCUGUGCACCCCACAAUCAGUCAGAAGUCUGACUACCAUCAUGGGCAUUGAAUCAAUGACUUUCUUUAUAAGAAAGAACUGCAACAUUUGAAGCACCUCAGAGGGGACUCGAACCCCCAAUCCCUGGCUUAGAAGGCCAGUGCCUUAUCCAUUAGGCCACUGAGGCUUGACAACUCCCUUUACACAUGAAAGAGUUGGUGUCAUUUAACUCCGACAGGCCACUGAGAACAAUGACUAAAUUCUGCUUCAUGGUCACUUUUAAAACCAUUGGUACUUUGUGUUUUGAAAAAGCCGCGACCAAUAAGUCACUAUCAAAUCCCAGUCCUUGACUGACAAUGUUCAACUUUGUAAGAUUUGACACUCAUUCAAUGGCCGUGCGUCAUGUGCGUGGAGCCCAAAAACGACUAUAAACAAACAUGCCUCACAAUGCGUGUUGCAACAGUUUUGAACGAUGUAGCCCAAAAUGUGCAUACACGUGCGUUGGUACAGCCGUUUCAUUGGAAGUGGUCGUGUUCCACUCCUAGGUCUUACAGAACUUGAAAGAGGGAUGUCCAGCAUGCAGUUUUAUCCAUAACUAGCCCAUAGGAGGGCUAACUCUACCAUUUGAACUAACUCUUCACAACUUGAUC